AGUGGGGGAUAUUGGGCAAUGGAGGCAACUCUGACCCAGCAACGCCGCGUGAGGGAAGAAGGUUUUCGGAUUGUAAACCUCUGUCCUAGGGGACGAAGAAAGUGACGGUACCCUAGGAGGAAGCCCCGGCUAACUACGUGCCAGCAGCCGCGGUAAUACGUAGGGGGCGAGCGUUGUCCGGAAUUACUGGGCGUAAAGGGUGCGUAGGCGGUUUGGUAAGUUAGAUGUGAAAUCCCCGGGCUUAACUCGGGAGUUGCAUUUAAAACUGCUGAACUAGAGUGCAGGAGAGGAAAGCGGAAUUCCUAGUGUAGCGGUGAAAUGCGUAGAUAUUAGGAGGAACACCAGUGGCGAAGGCGGCUUUCUGGACUGUAACUGACGCUGAGGCACGAAAGCGUGGGGAGCGAACAGGAUUAGAUACCCUGGUAGUCCACGCUGUAAACGAUGAGUGCUAGGUGUCGGCAAGAGAUUGUCGGUGCCGCAGUUAACGCAUUAAGCACUCCGCCUGGGGAGUACGAUCGCAAGAUUG
Molecule: ribosomal RNA, 526 nt
Filed under: uncultured bacterium
Lineage: Bacteria
Description: bacterial SSU rRNA
Rfam family: Bacterial small subunit ribosomal RNA
Source: RNAcentral